AUGCAUAUGCAUGAAAGAAAUGAAAUAGAUAAAACUUUAUUUGAACAACGACCUCCGCUCAAACACAAUUUGCCUAUUGAAACUCUAGGAGGUCCACCUCCACCUAAGGGUGAUCCAGUGUUUGAAUUAAAACAAUUGCCAGACACUUUGAAAUAUGCUUAUCUUGAUGAGAAAGGGAUAUAUCCUGUUAUUAUCAGUGCUAAUCUUUCAGAACAUGAAGAAGAAAGAUUAUUGAAAAUUCCGAAGAAGCACCGAGCUGCUAUUGGGUAUACUCUUGAUGAUCUUAAGGGCAUUAGUCCCACUCUAUGUCAGCACAAUAUUAAUAUGGAACCUGAUGUUAAACCCGUUGUUGAUCACCAACGAUGUUUGAAUCCUAAGAUGAAAGAAGUGGUAAGAACUGAAAUAUUAAAGCUUCUUGAAGCAGGUAUAAUCUAUCCCAUAGCUUAUAGUAGAUGGGCAAGUCCCGUUCAUUGUGUCCCUAAGAAGGGAGGUAUUACUGUUGUGCCUAAUGAUAAAAAUGAAUUAAUUCCAUAG
Molecule: ribosomal RNA, 534 nt
Filed under: Triticum aestivum (bread wheat)
Lineage: Eukaryota; Viridiplantae; Streptophyta; Magnoliopsida; Poales; Poaceae
Description: partial small subunit ribosomal RNA
Source: RNAcentral